Molecule: ribosomal RNA, 447 nt
Filed under: uncultured bacterium
Lineage: Bacteria
Description: partial 16S ribosomal RNA
Rfam family: Bacterial small subunit ribosomal RNA
Source: RNAcentral
CACCAGACUCCUACGGGAGGCAGCAGUGGGGGAUAUUGCACAAUGGGGGGAACCCUGAUGCAGCGACGCCGCGUGGGUGAAGGAGUGCUUCGGCAUGUAAAGCCCUAUCGGCAGGGAAGAAGCAAGACGGUACCUGACUAAGAAGCCCCGGCUAACUACGUGCCAGCAGCCGCGGUAAUACGUAGGGGGCGAGCGUUAUCCGGAUUCACUGGGUGUAAAGGGAGCGUAGACGGCAGGGCAAGCCAGAAGUGAAAACGCAGAGCUUAACUUUGCGACUGCUUUUGGAACUGCCCAGCUAGAGUACAGGAGAGGUAAGUGGAAUUCCUAGUGUAGCGGUGAAAUGCGUAGAUAUUAGGAGGAACACCAGUGGCGAAGGCGGCUUACUGGACUGAGACUGACGUUGAGGCUCGAAAGCGUGGGGAGCAAACAGGAUUAGAUACCCGCGUA